ACGAAACCGACCAGCAAGCAACUGCAGACGGGAGCUGGGGAGAAUCAGGAGGAAGAGACCGAAGGGCGAAAGCAUCACUAAGAGUCGACGAUAAAAAAGAGCUUAGUGAACCACCAAGAGGAAAAGAGAGAAUCCUCAAGGAGCUAAAGAGAAUCUCACUUUAGACCCCUUCGAAACUCGUUUGAGAAA
The submitters of this non-coding RNA (189 nucleotides) gave its source as unclassified sequences. The record is from Rfam.